This 406-nucleotide ribosomal RNA is filed under the name uncultured bacterium. Its description in RNAcentral is "partial 16S ribosomal RNA". It matches the Rfam family "Bacterial small subunit ribosomal RNA", at positions 30 to 526 of the family's 1533-position model. The record is from RNAcentral.
AUUGAACGCUGGCGGCAGGCCUAACACAUGCAAGUCGAACGCGUGGCGGACGGGUGAGUAAUGUAUGGUAAACUGCCAGAUGGAGGGGGAUAACUACUGGAAACGGUAGCUAAUACCGCAUACCAUCGGAUGUGCCCAGAUGGGAUUAGCUAGUAGGUGGGGUAACGGCUUACCUAGGCGACGAUACCUAGCUGGUCUGAGAGGAGUACCAGCCACACUGGAACUGUGACAAGGUCCAGACUCAUACGGUAGGCAGCAGUGGGGAAUAUUGCACAAGGGGCGCAAGCCUGAUGCAGACAUGCCGCGUGUAUGAAGAAGGCCAUCGGGUUGUAAAGUACUUUCAGCGAGGAGGCGUUACUCGCAGAAGAAGCACCGGCUAACUCCGUGCCAGCCGCCGCGGUAAUAC